Molecule: transfer RNA, 84 nt
Filed under: Thermoproteus sp. AZ2
Lineage: Archaea; Thermoproteati; Thermoproteota; Thermoprotei; Thermoproteales; Thermoproteaceae
Also listed under: 1 other name
Description: tRNA-Ser
Rfam family: tRNA
About the family: Transfer RNA (tRNA) molecules are approximately 80 nucleotides in length. Their secondary structure includes four short double-helical elements and three loops (D, anti-codon, and T loops). Further hydrogen bonds mediate the characteristic L-shaped molecular structure. tRNAs have two regions of fundamental functional importance: the anti-codon, which is responsible for specific mRNA codon recognition, and the 3' end, to which the tRNAs corresponding amino acid is attached (by aminoacyl-tRNA synthetases). tRNAs cope with the degeneracy of the genetic code in two manners: having more than one tRNA (with a specific anti-codon) for a particular amino acid; and 'wobble' base-pairing, i.e. permitting non-standard base-pairing at the 3rd anti-codon position.
Source: RNAcentral
GCCGGGGUGGCCGAGCGGCCCAAGGCGCGGGACUUGAGAUCCCGUCCCCGCAAGGGGGCGUGGGUUCAAAUCCCACCCCCGGCG